ACCUGAUUUUCUAAGCAAAGAGGAUCAUCUGAAGAUUCUUGGUGGAGGAAAGGUGAUGGUGGUCAUUUAAGUAUGUACAGUUAAAUUUGAGGACAGUUACUCUUGCAGACAUGCAUAAAUGCAUUGGGGUGGUCCCAGGGAUAGAAAUCAGGGAGAUAAGUUAGGAGGCAGUUGCAGCAGUCAAGGUACAGGUUCAUGGGAGCCUGGCUUUGGCUUGAUUUGGGCUCUAUUGCCUUGUGUUUUGCCUUGUGGAGCUGGGAAUGUCUAAGACAGUGUGAAAAGGCACUGACUCAGACAGAGCUGAGCAUGGAUAUGUACACUCAUCAAGACUUGAUGCACUGAGGUCAAUCCAAGAAUGAACCCACGAUGGAAAAAAAUGCCUGGUCUGGUGAUUUGACGGGCCUGAGAAAGACUUUCCCAUGGGAAGCCUCUGUGGAGAACAUGAUGCCUAGCAAGUAAAGCCCAUCCCAGGCCAUGGUGAUAAAAGAAAAUUGCCACACAGCUAUGUGUGAAUGCAAGGCAGGAGGUGGGAGGAGGGGAAGGAGUGGGGGUGCUGGUGGAGGGCGGCGGGCAUACCUCCCCAUGACAUCCUUUUCCAAACUUCUGCCAUCUGUGUUUCACUCUAUUAGGGGAGCUAGAGGCUCUCUUUAUAAUCUAUCUGUCCGGUCAUCACCCUCUGUGUUUUUCUUUCUUUUGGGACCAUUUUUUCCCCUCACAAAGAAACCCAUUUUUUUUUAAAAAUUACUCCUUGAGAGUUACUGUAUACAUGCUAAUUAGGGUAACAAUGUUAUAUUAGCUUAUUACCUAUUAUUUAUUUACCCAUUCACUUAUUUACUCAACAAAUAUCCAUUGAGUGCCUUUAAUGUGCCAAGUACAAUUCAGGCGCAGGGGUUAUAACUGAACAAAAGCAGUGAAAUCACUACCCUCAUGGGUCUUGAAUGGGGCAGUGUCAACAACUAAAUAUAUAGUUUCAGACUGUUGAUGUGAAGACUGAUGAAGCAGGAAAGGAAAUGAAUAGCAGCAAGGAUGUGGGGCUAUGGGGGCUGUAGACAGG
RNAcentral lists this long non-coding RNA (1054 nucleotides) under Bos indicus x Bos taurus (hybrid cattle). Its description in RNAcentral is "lncRNA (ENSBIXG00000017599.1)". Lineage: Eukaryota; Metazoa; Chordata; Mammalia; Artiodactyla; Bovidae. The record is from RNAcentral.